GAUGAACGCUGGCGGCGUGCCUAAUACAUGCAAGUCGAGCGAACAGAUGAGGAGCUUGCUCCUCUGACGUUAGCGGCGGGCGGGUGAGUAACACGUGGCUAACCUACCUAUAAGACUGGGAUAACUUCGGGAAACCGGAGCUAAUACCGGAUAAUAUAUUGAACCGCAUGGUUCAAUAGUGAAUGACGGUUUUGCUGUUACUUAUAGAUGGUUCCGCGCCGCAUUAGCUAGUUGGUAAGGUAACGGCUUACCAAGGCAACGAUGCGUAGCCGACCUGGGAGGGUGAUCGGCCACACUGGAACUGAGACACGGUCCAGACUCCUACGGGAGGCAGCAGUAGGGAAUCUUCCGCAAUGGGCGAAAGCCUGACGGAGCAACGCCGCGUGAGUGAUGAAGGUCUUCGGAUCGUAAAACUCUGUUAUUAGGGAAGAACAAAUGUGUAAGUAACUAUGCACGUCUUGACGGUACCUAAUCAGAAAGCCACGGCUAACUACGUG
Molecule: ribosomal RNA, 497 nt
Filed under: uncultured bacterium
Lineage: Bacteria
Description: partial 16S ribosomal RNA
Rfam family: Bacterial small subunit ribosomal RNA
Source: RNAcentral